GGAUGUGAGGGCGAUCUGGCUGUGACAUCUGUCACCCCAUUGAUCGCCAGGGUUGAUUCGGCUGAUCUGGCUGGCUAGGUGGGUGUCCCCUUCCUCCCUCACCGCUCCCUGUGCGUCCCUCCUGAAGCUGCGUGCUCGGUCAAAGAGGACGACCUUCCCUGAUAGAGGAGGAUCCGUCUUUGGUCAAGGGUAUAUGAGUAGCUGUGCUCUCCUGCUAGAACCUCCAAACAAGCUCUCAAAAUAAAAUCCUUAACAUUUCAAACUCUCUAUGUGCCAGGAAAAUCUUAAAAACAUAUACACAAAUAUGUAAAUUAUAGGUACUUC
This 324-nucleotide small nuclear RNA is filed under the name Propithecus coquereli (Coquerel's sifaka). RNAcentral's name for it is "7SK RNA (ENSPCOG00000006689.1)". It matches the Rfam family "7SK RNA". From Rfam's summary of the family: 7SK was discovered as an abundant small nuclear RNA in the mid-70s but a possible function has only recently been suggested. Two independent studies have found that 7SK RNA binds the CDK9/cyclin T complex (known as elongation factor P-TEFb). P-TEFb activates transcription by phosphorylating the C-terminal domain of RNA polymerase II. Lineage: Eukaryota; Metazoa; Chordata; Mammalia; Primates; Indriidae. The record is from RNAcentral.